RNAcentral lists this transfer RNA (74 nucleotides) under Patescibacteria group bacterium. RNAcentral describes it as "tRNA-Gly". It matches the Rfam family "tRNA". From Rfam's summary of the family: Transfer RNA (tRNA) molecules are approximately 80 nucleotides in length. Their secondary structure includes four short double-helical elements and three loops (D, anti-codon, and T loops). The record is from RNAcentral. RNAcentral also lists the same sequence under 1 other name.
GCGGGAUUCGUAUAUCGGUAAUACAUGAGUUUUCCAAACUCAAGAGACGGGUUCGACUCCCGUAUCCCGCUCCA